CAAGUGCUGCCUGCAGGUCCAUGCCAGUUGCUAUGGCAUCCGUCCCGAGCUGGUCAAUGAAGGCUGGACAUGUUCCCGGUGCGCGGCCCACGCCUGGACUGCGGAGUGCUGCCUGUGCAACCUGCGAGGAGGUGCGCUGCAGAUGACCACCGAUAGGAGGUGGAUCCACGUGAUCUGCGCCAUCGCAGUCCCCGAGGCGCGCUUCCUGAAUGUGAUUGAGCGCCACCCUGUGGACAUCAGCACCAUCCCUGAGCAGCGGUGGAAGCUGGUGCAAAGUACAAAAGUCAAAAGGCAUCAAGGGUGCCAGAGAUAAGCAGGCCCCGUCAGGUGCGGCCUUGCGGGCAUCCUCUGCAGAAUCGAGCACCCCAUGCAGUUUCCACCUUUCCAGAAAAGCAGAGGCGCCGCACGUGCCCCGACACAACCGGGCCGUCCGAUCUUUGUUGUUUUUCUAAUAAUUAUAACAAGCCUGGGCAACAU
This 477-nucleotide small RNA is filed under the name Pongo abelii (Sumatran orangutan). RNAcentral describes it as "processed transcript". Lineage: Eukaryota; Metazoa; Chordata; Mammalia; Primates; Hominidae. The record is from RNAcentral.